This 320-nucleotide ribosomal RNA is filed under the name uncultured Prevotella sp. RNAcentral describes it as "partial 16S ribosomal RNA". Lineage: Bacteria; Pseudomonadati; Bacteroidota; Bacteroidia; Bacteroidales; Prevotellaceae. The record is from RNAcentral.
GGAGUUUGGACCGUGUCUCAGUUCCAAUGUGGGGGACCUUCCUCUCAGAACCCCUACUGAUCGCAGGCUUGGUGGGCCGUUACCCCGCCGACUACCUAAUCAGACGCAUCCCCAUCCUAUAGCGGUAAACCUUUGGUAUUCGUCAGAUGUCAUCAAAAUACAACAUAGGGUAUUAAUCCGCAUUUCUACGGGCUAUCCCCUACUAUAGGGAAGGUUGGAUACGCGUUACUCACCCGUGCGCCGGUCGCCAUCUAUCAAAGCAAGCUUCGAUAAUGCUGCCCCUCGACUUGCAUGUGUUAAGCCUGUAGCUAGCGUUCAUC